CCUACGGGAGGCUGCAGUGAGGAAUAUUGGUCAAUGGGCGGAAGCCUGAACCAGCCAAGUAGCGUGCAGGAUGACGGCUCUACGGGUUGUAAACUGCUUUUAUACGGGAAUAACGCGCCUUACGUGUACGGCUUUGUAUGUACCGUAUGAAUAAGGAUCGGCUAAUUCCGUGCCAGCAGCCGCGGUAAUACGGAAGAUCCGGGCGUUAUCCGGAUUUAUUGGGUUUAAAGGGAGCGUAGGUGGCAAGUUAAGCGUGCUGUGAAAUGUCGUGGCUCAACCCGAGCCUUGCAGCGCGAACUGGCGUGCUUGAGUCCGCGGAAAGCAGGCGGAAUGCGUCGUGUAGCGGUGAAAUGCUUAGAUAUGACGAAGAACCCCGAUUGCGAAGGCAGCUUGCUGCAGCGGAACUGACGCUGAUGCUCGAAAGCGCGGGUAUCGAACAGGAUUAGAUACCCCUGUAGUC
RNAcentral lists this ribosomal RNA (460 nucleotides) under uncultured bacterium. Its description in RNAcentral is "partial 16S ribosomal RNA". It matches the Rfam family "Bacterial small subunit ribosomal RNA", at positions 338 to 795 of the family's 1533-position model. The record is from RNAcentral.